RNAcentral lists this ribosomal RNA (464 nucleotides) under Vreelandella stevensii. RNAcentral's name for it is "partial 16S ribosomal RNA". It matches the Rfam family "Bacterial small subunit ribosomal RNA", at positions 338 to 795 of the family's 1533-position model. The record is from RNAcentral. Lineage: Bacteria; Pseudomonadati; Pseudomonadota; Gammaproteobacteria; Oceanospirillales; Halomonadaceae.
CCUACGGGUGGCUGCAGUGGGGAAUAUUGGACAAUGGGCGAAAGCCUGAUCCAGCCAUGCCGCGUGUGUGAAGAAGGCCUUCGGGUUGUAAAGCACUUUCAGUGGGGAAGAAAGCCUUGGGGCUAAUACCCUCGAGGUAGGACAUCACCCACAGAAGAAGCACCGGCUAACUCCGUGCCAGCAGCCGCGGUAAUACGGAGGGUGCGAGCGUUAAUCGGAAUUACUGGGCGUAAAGCGCGCGUAGGCGGUCUGAUAAGCCGGUUGUGAAAGCCCCGGGCUCAACCUGGGAACGGCAUCCGGAACUGUCAGGCUAGAGUGCAGGAGAGGAAGGUAGAAUUCCCGGUGUAGCGGUGAAAUGCGUAGAGAUCGGGAGGAAUACCAGUGGCGAAGGCGGCCUUCUGGACUGACACUGACGCUGAGGUGCGAAAGCGUGGGUAGCAAACAGGAUUAGAUACCCUUUAGUC